RNAcentral lists this ribosomal RNA (508 nucleotides) under uncultured bacterium. RNAcentral's name for it is "partial 16S ribosomal RNA". It matches the Rfam family "Bacterial small subunit ribosomal RNA", at positions 30 to 523 of the family's 1533-position model. The record is from RNAcentral.
AUUGAACGCUGGCGGCAUGCCUUACACAUGCAAGUCGAACGGCGGCGGGGGAGAAGCUUGCUUUUCCUGCCGGCGAGUGGCGAACGGGUGAGUAAUACAUCGGAACGUGCCCUGUAGUGGGGGAUAACUAGUCGAAAGAUUAGCUAAUACCGCAUACGACCUGAGGGUGAAAGUGGGGGACCGCAAGGCCUCAUGCUAUAGGAGCGGCCGAUGUCUGAUUAGCUAGUUGGUGGGGUAAAGGCCUACCAAGGCGACGAUCAGUAGCUGGUCUGAGAGGACGAUCAGCCGCACUGGGACUGAGACACGGCCCAGACUCCUACGGGAGGCAGCAGUGGGGAAUUUUGGACAAUGGGCGAAAGCCUGAUCCAGCAAUGCCGCGUGUGUGAAGAAGGCCUUCGGGUUGUAAAGCACUUUUGUCCGGAAAGAAAUGGCUCUGGUUAAUACCUGGGGUCGAUGACGGUACCGGAAGAAUAAGGACCGGCUAACUACGUGCCAGCCGCCGCGGUAA